Molecule: long non-coding RNA, 479 nt
Organism: Onthophagus taurus
Lineage: Eukaryota; Metazoa; Arthropoda; Insecta; Coleoptera; Scarabaeidae
Source: RefSeq, a predicted model, not a curated record
AGAUUUCAGUUUAGUUUAGUUUUAGAAGGCGUCAACGAGCCGGGACCCUUUUGCAUAAUACACUUGUCGAUUCUCGUUCCUCUCAAAAAUAAAAUCACAUUUUACUUACCAGUAGUGGUCAACUAGAAUCAGUUCAAUCCACUCGGAAUCGUUUUUGAUUUUAUUCUUUUUGAAAGACCCAUAAAAAAUGUUGCUUAUUAAAUACAUUAGACCAACGAGAAUUCCGAUUACGACGUUAAAAAAACCUGGAUUGAUUUCGACUUUAAUCGAAAUCAAUAAAGUCACGUGUCUUUUUGUUGUUGCACAUCAAAUUGGGGAUUUCUUCGCAAGGUUUCAAUAAAGAAAAGCCUGAAACGAGACGAUUAUCAAUUGGGAUUAUGAUGGAAACGAUGUCGAAAACGAACGAAAUAAUUUAUCUUUAUUAAAAAUAAUGUGAAUAGAAUUAGUUUUUAAGUUAAUUAAUUAAAAUACAAAUUCAA